RNAcentral lists this ribosomal RNA (239 nucleotides) under uncultured bacterium. RNAcentral's name for it is "partial 16S ribosomal RNA". It matches the Rfam family "Bacterial small subunit ribosomal RNA", at positions 118 to 347 of the family's 1533-position model. The record is from RNAcentral.
UGGGCAACAUGCCCUAGGGAGCGGGACAACCCGAGGAAACUCGGGCUAAUACCGCAUAAUUCGUCGUGCCUCAAGGCGCGACGGGAAAUGGUAGCUUCGGCCUCCGCCCUGGGAUGGGCCCGCGGCGCAUUAGCUUGUUGGUGGGGUAAUGGCCUACCAAGGCAACGAUGGGUAGCUGGUCUGAGAGGACGAUCAGCCACACUGGGACUGAGACACGGCCCAGACUCCUACGGGAGCAG